UUUUUUUUUUUUUUUUUUUUUUUUUUUUGUGCUUUUUAGGGCCACACCCGAGGCAUAUGGAGGUUGCCAGCCUAGGGGUCAAAUUGGAGCUACAGCUGCCGGCCUAGGCCACAACCACAGCAAUGCCAGAUCCAAGCUGCAUCUGCAACCCACACCACAGCUCACAGCAAUACCAGAUCCUUAACCCACUGACCGAGGCCAGGGCUUGAACCUGCAACAUCAUGGUUCCUAGUCAGAUUCAUUUCCACUUCACCACAAUGGGAAUGCCCUACAAUGCCCUUUAAACAAUCCUUUAUUGAAGGUUCAGUGGUUAAAUGACUAUGCUGGGUCCUUGGGGCAGGGUGACGUGUUGAAGAUGGGUUCUUUUUUUCACUACUGCACUCAUUCUGCUCUGGGCAUAGAAGGUUUUGGCUGUUCCUCCAGCUCAUGAGGGCACUCCUGCCCUCGGACCUAUGGUCUGUACCUGGAGCACUCUGGCCCAGGUAGAUGACCUGCUGCUUCACCUUAUUCAAGUCUUUGCACAUGUGUCACCUUCUAAAUGAGAUGAACUACCUCCCUGAACCACCUCUUUUGAGACUUCAAUCCUCCCUCACAUACCCUGGUGUUCCUUGUUGCCCCUGCUGUGCUUUAUUUUUCUUCAUACAACUUACUCCCGAUAUUUUAAUUAAUUAGCUUAUUGAAUGGACACCCUCACCCCAUCAACUCUAUUACAGCAGAUAUUUUUAUGUGUUUUGUCUACUGAUAUAUGUGCAAAUCAAGGCUGUAAAUGUUCAGUGAAUAUUGGUGAAUGAAUAAAUGAAUGAUUACACGAAUGAAUGAAGGUGAGAAUGGGGGAAAUCACUGUAGCAUGAAGCUUGAGCUAAUAGGAGCCGGGAAGAAGAUAAGUAAUAAGUUAUGGGGCUACAACAGAAAAAGUGAUUCUAACCCAGCAGCAAAUUUUUGGGGAGGCAUGACAGGGAGUGAAACUUCUGAGUUGGUCCACAUAAGAGGAAGCAUGAGAAAAGAGUAAAAUUUUACAUGUGUAGAAGCAAGGGAUUGAGUAAAAGCACAGAUGAACAGUUAGCUGGACAUCUGGAGUUUUGAUGUAUCUUAAGAAUCAGGUGUAUGGAAUUAUGUAGUAAGAAGAGCUAAAAAGCUUCAUGCAUCAGCCAGAUUGUUCUUGGCUGUGAGGACUAAAACCAUGAAUGAAAUGAUAUCCUUAGAACACUGGCAUAAUCAGUUAGACAUCUACUCCCUCUCACAGCUGUACCCCCCUCGCAGGGCUGCCUCAGACUGAGACGAGUUGGCAGCUCAGUGAUACCAUCCAGGACCCACGUUCUUUCCAUCUCUCCACACCCUUCAAACUUUGCAGAAGUUUCCUCCUCAGGUUGAUUCAAAAAUGACUGCUGUGAUUUUAGGCCUCACAUUUUCACUAUUAACAGAGGAAGAAGGUAGACUCUUUUCUCUUCCUGUGGGUUUACCUUAGAAAUGAUAAGCCUUUAUCAGAGGACACUUGGCACACUUUCUUUCACAUGUCAUAGACCAGAGUUGCACCACAAGCCCAUUUCUGAGUAGCUUCUUCAUUUGGAAAUACUCAGCCCAUCUAAUGUCACCAGUCACUGUUCUAGGCAUUAAGAAUAAGAGGGCCCGCUCACCCUCUCCCACAAACACACCAAAAAAACACAUGUACAUGUGGAAGGUUUCACACAGAUCAUCUACUGAAUGCUGGCAGAAGAACUUAAACCUCCAAAAAGGGCAAGAAAUCCUCCACCUAACUGGGUAGAACAAAAGGAAAACACACAAGCUAACAAAAUAUAUGAUGUCAGAUUAGAAAUUCUAUAAACACAAUCAAAGUAGUGUAAGAGACAGGAGCUUUAUCCACUCUCUUGAGAUAAAACAUGAUGGACGAUAAUAUGACAAAAAGAAAAAAAAAGUAUAUAUAUAUAUAUUCAUAUAUAUGUGUGAAUGACUGGGUCACUGUGCCAUACAGCAGAAAUUGACACGACGUGGUAAAUCAAAACUACACUUUAAUGAAAAAUAAAGGGGAAGAGGUUUGGGUUGUGUGGGCAGAGAAAGAGUCUCUGCGGAAAUGACAUUUAAGCAGAGACUUGAGUGAAUUGAAGGAAGGAGCCCUGUGAAGAUCUGAAAAAAGCUCUUUCUAUACAGAGAACAGCCAGUCCAGAGCCCUGAACCAGCAAUGAGUUUGGUAAUGCUCAAGAAACACCGUGGAAGGCGAAGUAGCUAGAACAGAAUAAGACAAGUAGGAUAUGUAAGGAGAUGAGGUGAGAGAAUUUGCAAAGGGAGCAGAUCAUGAUGGGUCCUCUAGGCCUUAGUAAGGAUGCGGGGUUGUAUCCUAAGGCGGAUAGGAAGGCAUUGAAUGAUUUUGAAGAGAAGAGUGGUGUGAUCCAAUUUACAUUUUGAAAGGGAUCACUCUGUCUACAGAGAAAUGAUUGUGGGGAAAAGUGCAGAAGAUGAGAUAGGCGACCGGAGCAGAAG
This 2475-nucleotide long non-coding RNA is filed under the name Sus scrofa (pig). Its description in RNAcentral is "lncRNA (ENSSSCG00055000793.1)". The record is from RNAcentral. Lineage: Eukaryota; Metazoa; Chordata; Mammalia; Artiodactyla; Suidae.